Molecule: non-coding RNA, 124 nt
Organism: Triticum aestivum (bread wheat)
Lineage: Eukaryota; Viridiplantae; Streptophyta; Magnoliopsida; Poales; Poaceae
Source: Rfam
UUACUACUACCUCCGUUCGGAGCUGCUUGUCUUUGAAAUGGAUAAAAUUGAUGUAACUAGAACUAAAAUACGUCUAGAUACAUCUAUCUCUCGGACAAGUGUUUUCGGACGGAGGAAGUACUUU